Molecule: ribosomal RNA, 865 nt
Filed under: uncultured organism
Description: bacterial SSU rRNA
Rfam family: Bacterial small subunit ribosomal RNA
Source: RNAcentral
GGACUGUUAAGUCAAUGGUGAAAGUCUGUAGCUCAACUAUAGAAUUGCCAUUGAUACUGAUAGUCUUGAGUCCGGUUGAGGUAUGCGGAAUGUGUAAUGUANCGGUGAAAUGCAUAGAUAUUACACAGAACACCGAUUGCGAAGGCAGCAUACUAAGCCGUUACUGACGCUGAUGCACGAAAGCGUGGGGAGCGAACAGGAUUAGAUACCCUGGUAGUCCACGCUGUAAACGAUGAUCACUCGCUGUUGGCAAUACAUAGUCAGCGGCUGAGCGAAAGCAUUAAGUGAUCCACCUGGGGAAUACGUCGGCAACGAUGAAACUCAAAGGAAUUGACGGGGGCCCGCACAAGCGGUGGAACAUGUGGUUUAAUUCGAUGAUACGCGAGGAACCUUACCUGGGCUUAAAUGUAUAGUGCAUUCAUGAGAAAUCGUGAUUUCCUUCGGGACUCUUUACAAGGUGCUGCAUGGUUGUCGUCAGCUCGUGCCGUGAGGUGUCGGGUUAAGUCCCAUAACGAGCGCAACCCCUAUUGCCAGUUGCCAGCAUGUAAUGAUGGGGACUCUGGUGAGACUGCCGGUGUAAACCGUGAGGAAGGUGGGGAUGACGUCAAAUCAGCACGGCCCUUAUGUCCAGGGCUACACACGUGUUACAAUGGCCGGUACAGAGGGCAGCCACCUGGCAACAGGGCGCUAAUCCUAAAAGCCGGUCUCAGUUCGGAUCGGAGUCUGCAACUCGACUUCGUGAAGCUGGAAUCGCUAGUAAUCGCGCAUCAGCCAUGGCGCGGUGAUACGUUCCCGGGCAUUGUACACACCGCCCGUCAAGCCAUGGAAGCUGGGGGUGCCUGAAGUUCGUAACCGCGAGGAGCGA